GACGAACGCUGGCGGCGUGCUUAACACAUGCAGGUCGAACGGAAAGGCCCUGCUUUUGUGGGGUGCUCGAGUGGCGAACGGGUGAGUAACACGUGAGUAACCUGCCCUUGACUUUGGGAUAACUUCAGGAAACUGGGGCUAAUACCGGAUAGGAGCUCCUGCUGCAUGGUGGGGGUUGGAAAGUUUCGGCGGUUGGGGAUGGACUCGCGGCUUAUCAGCUUGUUGGUGGGGUAGUGGCUUACCAAGGCUUUGACGGGUAGCCGGCCUGAGAGGGUGACCGGCCACAUUGGGACUGAGAUACGGCCCAGACUCCUACGGGAGGCAGCAGUGGGGAAUAUUGCACAUUGGGCGGAAGCCUGAUGCAGCAACGCCGCGUGCGGGAUGACGGCCUUCGGGUUGUAAACCGCUUUCGCCUGUGACGAAGCGUGAGUGACGGUAAUGGGUAAAGAAGCACCGGCUAACUACGUG
Molecule: ribosomal RNA, 468 nt
Filed under: uncultured bacterium
Lineage: Bacteria
Description: partial 16S ribosomal RNA
Rfam family: Bacterial small subunit ribosomal RNA
Source: RNAcentral